This is a long non-coding RNA of Peromyscus californicus insignis, 4649 nucleotides long. RefSeq lists it as uncharacterized. The record is from RefSeq and is a predicted model, not a curated record. Lineage: Eukaryota; Metazoa; Chordata; Mammalia; Rodentia; Cricetidae. The transcript has 3 exons.
CUCACUCUAUAGCCCAGGCUGGCCUCGAACUCACAGAGAUCCGCAAGCCUCUGCCUCCCGAGUGCUGGGAUUAAAGGCGUGAGCCACCACUGCUUUCACAUAUUCAACUGACAAACCUUUCCAGAACUCUCCUUGCUACGGUAGGCUUUGAGCUUGCUGAGGAGAAGCCCAGGCCCUGUCCUUAGGUGUGAUGGGGCAUUCUGGAGGUGGAGGAGGAGGAUGGGAACAAAGCCUGAUCAUCCUUCCUUCAAAACCCUGAGAUCCACACCAGAAGAAAGCUUAGGGAGCAAUGAGUGCAGAGAGGAGGCUUCCGUGUGGGGGCCCAUCCUUCACCCCCAUAUUUUCCCUAGAGUACUCUUGAGUAGGAGCAGCAGGAAAUAUUAAAUAGAAGGAUAGUGAGGGGAGAAACAGAUUAAAAAUACAGGAUAGCCUCGAGAGGGCCUGGAUCCUAAUCCAUCGGGCCUUGACUGUCUCUGCCCUAGGGUAUUUAAAGAAAUGCCAAGGGGUGGAGCAAAAGACCUCCUCCCCCCGCAGCACAGUCAAAUGCAUGCCAUCUCAGACACCUGCACUCAGGCCCGUGGUCUAAUCAUCCUCUCUAUGCGGACCUGCUGGGUAAAGCCACGAGGAAACCCAAAUGGGCUCCAACACUUCUGCCCGGCCCUGGCAGGCUUUUCAGAGGGUGGAAGGGUGGAUAAAAGCCAGUAGGGGAGGAAUUAGGGCCAGCUCAUGUGCCAGGUACCACAGUGGAACUGGUGAGAUCCCUUGGACUUGGUAUUGAGGGGACCCCGAGGGGUUGGUGGUGAAACCAGAGGAAGACCAAAACUCAAGGUAAUGGUGGUGGCGCAUGCCUUUAAUCCCAGCACUGGGGAAGCAGAGGCAGGCAGAUCUCUAAGUUCAAGGCCAGCCUGGUCUACAGGUUCCAGGACAGCCAGGGCUACACAGAGAAACUCUUUUAUUUUUAUUUUUUGUUUUUGCUUUUUUCGAGACAGGGUUUCUCUGUGUAGCUUUGCACCUUUCCUGGAACUCACUCUGUAGCCCAGGCUGGCCUCGAACUCACAGAGAUCCGCCUGCCUCUGCCUCCCGGAGAAACCCUGUCUUGAAAAAUCAAAAGAAAAAGAAAGACUCAAGGUUAGAGAAGGCAAAGUCACGAGCAUAGCAAGUGUGGAUGACUCCAUGAAGCCACCAGGGCCAGUCAGAGUACACAAAUGUAGAAAUGUGAAACUUUAAAAGAAAGCCCAAGUAAUGGCACCUGCCACCAGCCUGACAAUUUUGAGCCCUGGGACCUACAUGGUAGAAGGAAAGAACCCAGCAAGUCAUUCUUGACUCCACAAGUGUGCUGUAGUGCACGUACCCCUGCCCUACCCCACACAAUGUAAAUCAAUAGACGUAACUUUAAAAAAAAAUUAAGAAAACAGUAAAGUCAGGUGUGGUGGCACACACACAUGCCUCCUGCAGCUCUAAGGAGUCAGAAGCAGGAAUGUGAAAAGUUCAAGGCUAGCCUGGUCUACAUGGCCAGUUCCAGGCCAGCCAGGACUAUACACUGAGACCCUUUCUCAAGGAAACAAGCAAACAAAUAAAACACAGAGGCGAUCUUUGUUACCAUCAUGUGUUCACCAAAUGAUCUAACUAUUUCAUGGCUGUGUAUUUCCCAUAAGAAGCAGUAUGCCAGGUGUGGUGGCUCAUGCCUUUAAUCCCAGCACUUGGGAGGCAGAGCCAGGCAGAUCUCUGUGAGUUCAAGGCCUGCCUGGUCUACAGAGCGAGAUCCAGGACAGGCACCAAAACUACACAGAGAAACCCUGUCUCGAAAAACCAAAAAACAACAACAACAAAAAUAAAUAGAUAGAUAGAUAGAUAGAUAAAUAGGUCUCCAAAGUGGAAACAUCUUACUGUCCUUGCGUGGUUGAACAGACUGUGUAGUAUAUCCGUACUAGGGACUAUUAUUCUGUGAUUAAAAAAUAUCGAACCGCUGAUGACAUGGGACAACAUGGAUGAAUCUCAAAAUAAAAAUGCAGAAUGUCAGCCGGACUGAAGAGGGAAGAAUGCAUACUGUUUGGUUCCACUCAGAGAAAAUGACAGAAAAUGUCAACUAAUCGAAAAGCAGCAGAUUAGUGGAUGCCUGGGGAUGGGGCAGGGACAGCCAUGAAGGGACCAUUAAAAGGGACCAGGAAACCCUGAUGGUUAACACACAGAUCUUUUACUUUGGUUGUGGGUGGUCAUGGAUUGAUUGAUUCAUGGGUAUUGUCAAAAUGUGUCCAAUUAAAGCCAGACUUGGUGGGACACCCCUGCAAUCCCUCACUUAGGAAGCGGUAGCAAGAGGACGGCAGUUCAAGGCCCCCCUAGGCUACAUGCUGAGUUUGAGGCCAGCCUGGAUUACAUGAGAUGAUGUCUCCCAAACAAACAAACAAAAAAAAUAAUGAAGCUACAAAUGUAAGUAUGGGUAACAAAUGUCCUGAGGGCCAUGUCCCUCAGCCCCCAUCCUACUUGACACUGUGGCGUCAGUUUAUGCUGUGUGGCUUUGCAUAAAGCUGGCCUCUCUCUGCAUUCAACUUUCUUAUCUUUCAGUGGAGAGACAAGACCGCACCCAUCUCACAGGGCACAGGGCCCCACAUACACAGUUGGGUCUCUGUCUAAGAGGGCCUCUCACCUUGAAUCAGCUGGCUGGCAUAUUGAUACAGGCAAAGGAGAAAAAAAAUUGUAAGGCAGAAGAACAGGCAUCUCUGCGUCCAGUCGGCUUGUCCUGAGAGGUACCCAGGGAGCCUGUCCCAUGGGACUUGUCAGAAGUUGGACUCUAGGCAAAGGGCAUGAGCAGAGCACCCCUCUUAGGAAAGGCUGGAAGCAAGGUAGGCAGAGGACUAGCUGAACCUCAGUCUCUGGGAGGGCAGCACUGGCCUCCUGUUCAUGUCAGGGCUGGGGACAAGGCCAGGUUGGCCCAAGGCCCAGAGGGGCGGGCCAGUUCAGCACCAUGGGUCUCGGAGGUAGGGAGCCUGCUGGGACCUCUCUCUGGACACAAUGUCCUAGACUGCUUCACAGCUUGGCUGACUGACAGGGAACAGUGGCUGGCAGAGGGUAUGGGCAGCUGGCCGACUGGGUGGGGGGCAGCCAGCCUGAGCAAAGGGCUUGUUCUUACAACCUGUCCUGCCGCCUUGGCCAAGGAGAGGGCCAGCUCUUUGGAGGAAGGAGCUUGACACCCUGCGGGGAGCUCAGCAAUCCCUCUCUACCUGUGCUGGGCUACAACCCAGAGGCUAUGGUAAGAAAAUGCAAACCAGGAUGUCCCAUGGAGUUCCUUCAUUCUUCCGUUUCCUCAACUAUAGAAGGACACCGAUGCUGCCCCUCCCCUUUGUCACUGAAGCUUCACUCUUUGGAACCUAUGGAUCCAGCCCCCCCAAACCCCCCCAACCCCAAAGCUUAGAAGCCCAGUCUGCGGCAGUGGGUCCAGGGUCUGUGGAUAUCCCUCGACUGUGUACACUACAGCCCCCGGAAGGCCGGUAGUGCCGAGAGUGAGUCCGCUGGUGUUCCACAGUUCCAUCUGGCGGAAGGUUGGGGAGACUUUCCUCUGAGGAGAACUCCAGAAGCAAAACCCCAGUCACUGCCCUGCAUGUGCCUGAAUCGCCACCUAGUGGUGGCUGGCCUCGUUACUACGACAACAUGGGUCCUGCUGGGUAUCAGAGAGAAAAGCAGGAGUCUAAGGAGGUGUGCAGAAGCCUCUCCAGGCAGCACAGACAGGCAGUAGGUGUAGUGGGUAGCCAUUCCAGCUUUGAUCUGGAAGUUCCAACCCCCAUUGAGGCUUCGGUAACUGUCACGCCUACAAGGCGGGGCUGAGAGAGGACCCUGAAGACCCGAGAUUCGGAUGUGGCGGGCGCUCUUGGUUCCUGGACCCUGGACGCUGGAGGUAGACCGAGCAGAGUUCUCCAGAGAACACCGCUGGACUGAGCUACACCUUUCCUAGAUCCCGCGCGACCUACCUAUCCCUUCAUUUGUGAGUUACCCCACAAAAUAAACCUCCCUUUUAACUACGUGGAGUGGCCUUAAUAAUUUCACCAAUAAGUAGGUGCUGUAACAUAGGAGGCACCCGCUCAAAGAACUAGACCUGAGUACCAGGUAGUGCCUGGGGAACAGGAGGCUGGCCACUGUGGGCCUUUUGAUGUGAGCACAGAUUUGGCUCUGGAUGUAACGGGAGCCAUAGGACAUUCUGGGUGGAUGCAAGGCUGCUGUGAGAACAGACUUCGGGUGUACAUCUGGGAUUAGGAGGAUGCUGGCCAGGGGAGGGUAAGGUCAUGGCUGGAUUUGAGAACUGGAAGGGUUGUUGGGUGGGAUGGGGCUGUGAUCUAAGUCAGGGUGUCAACAGUGACUCUGGGAAGGGAAAUGGGAGGGAAGACAUGGUGCCUGCACGGAUAGUCCUAGCUGCUAUUUAGGAGACUGAGGCAGGAGGAUUGUUUGAGUCUAGGGGUUCAGGACCAGCCUGAGCAAAACAGGAAAACCCUGUCUCAAAACAAAAAUGAUGCCGGGCGGUGGUGGCGCACGCCUUUAAUCCCAGCACUCGGGAGGCAGAGCCAGGCGGAUCUCUGUGAGUUCGAGGCCAGCCUGGACUACCAAGUGAGUUCCAGGAAAGGCGCAAAGCUACACAGAGAAACCCUGUCUCGAAAAACCAA